GAACCAGUCGGAUCCUGACUCGCUCUUCUAACUGGUUCUGAGUUGUGCUAAAAACCGAAUUUGAGUUAAAUCAGACCUAGUUCAAUAUUAAAACCCAGUUUUCGCAAAUUCAAGUUAAAAAAUAAAAACAAAUUGCAAAUUUUAAUAAGAUUUCAUCAAAAUUUAAUAAUGUUUUCUACUACAUAUAUAAAUAAAUUAGUUUUAGUUUUUUUUUUUAUUUUUUUAUUUAUAUUUCAUAUCAGUUUUAAAAUAUAACAUUGAUAUAAACUUAUAUCAAAAUUAAUUUAUAGUUAUACUUACAUAUAUAUAGUUACUUAAUUUAAAAUUAAAUUAAAAUUAAGCGGUUAAACUGAUUAAACCGGUCUGACCAUUGACCGAGGUGCAAUGUUGAAUCAGUGUAAUACGAAGGUAUGCAUCAUAUGUUCGAUAAUCUACAUAUAGGGUCCAAAAAUAUGUACAUUAAUA
This 465-nucleotide long non-coding RNA is filed under the name Brassica rapa (field mustard). RNAcentral's name for it is "long non-coding RNA (BRAP_LNC006629)". The record is from RNAcentral. Lineage: Eukaryota; Viridiplantae; Streptophyta; Magnoliopsida; Brassicales; Brassicaceae.